UGGGGAAUAUUGCACAAUGGGCGCAAGCCUGAUGCAGCCAUGCCGCGUGUGUGAAGAAGGCCUUCGGGUUGUAAAGCACUUUCAGCGGGGAGGAAGGCGUUAAGGUUAAUAACCUUGGCGAUUGACGUUACCCGCAGAAGAAGCACCGGCUAACUCCGUGCCAGCAGCCGCGGUAAUACGGAGGGUGCAAGCGUUAAUCGGAAUUACUGGGCGUAAAGCGCACGCAGGCGGUCUGUCAAGUCGGAUGUGAAAUCCCCGGGCUCAACCUGGGAACUGCAUUCGAAACUGGCAGGCUAGAGUCUUGUAGAGGGGGGUAGAAUUCCAGGUGUAGCGGUGAAAUGCGUAGAGAUCUGGAGGAAUACCGGUGGCGAAGGCGGCCCCCUGGACAAAGACUGACGCUCGGGUGCGAAAGCGUGGGGAGCAAACAGG
Molecule: ribosomal RNA, 429 nt
Filed under: Chloroflexota bacterium
Lineage: Bacteria; Bacillati; Chloroflexota
Description: Chloroflexi bacterium partial 16S ribosomal RNA
Rfam family: Bacterial small subunit ribosomal RNA
Source: RNAcentral